RNAcentral lists this transfer RNA (53 nucleotides) under Lepidodermella squamata. Its description in RNAcentral is "tRNA-Cys". Lineage: Eukaryota; Metazoa; Gastrotricha; Chaetonotida; Chaetonotidae. The record is from RNAcentral.
GGUUCGGAUAAAGACAAACUGCAAAUUUGUACUUUCCCGUUAGGGCCGGACUU